This 812-nucleotide ribosomal RNA is filed under the name uncultured Actinomycetes bacterium. RNAcentral's name for it is "bacterial SSU rRNA". It matches the Rfam family "Bacterial small subunit ribosomal RNA", at positions 70 to 883 of the family's 1533-position model. The record is from RNAcentral. Lineage: Bacteria; Bacillati; Actinomycetota; Actinomycetes.
CAUUCUGUAGCAAUACAGGGUGUGGGCGCGUGGCGAACGGGUGCGUAACACGUGGAUAACCUUCCUUCAGGUGGGGAAUAACCCAGUGAAAAUUGGGCUAAUACCGCAUAACAUGACGAUGGCACAUGCUGUUGUCUUCAAAGGCGCAAGUCGCCAGAAGAGGGAUCCGCGGCCGAUUAGCUUGUUGGCGAGGUAAUGGCUCACCAAGGCAUUGAUCGGUAGCCGGACUGAGAGGUUGACCGGCCACACUGGAACUGAGACACGGUCCAGACUCCUACGGGAGGCAGCAGUGGGGAAUCUUGCACAAUGGACGAAAGUCUGAUGCAGCAACGCCGCGUGGGGGAUGAAGCUUCUCGGAGUGUAAACCCCUUUCGACCCGGAAGAAUGCCCGCAAGGGCUUGACGGUACGGGUAUAAGAAGCCCCGGCUAACUACGUGCCAGCAGCCGCGGUAAUACGUAGGGGGCCAGCGUUGCUCGGAAUUACUGGGCGUAAAGGGUCCGUAGGCGGUGCGGCAAGUCGAGAGUGAAAUCCCUAGGCUUAACCUAGGGGCUGCUAGCGAAACUGCCGUGCUAGAGUGUGAGAGAGGCGAGUGGAAUUACGGGUGUAGCGGUGAAAUGCGUAGAUAUCCGUAGGAACAUCCGAGGCGAAAGCGGCUCGCUGGAUCACAACUGACGCUGAGAGACGAAAGCUAGGGGAGCAAACAGGAUUAGAUACCCUGGUAGUCCUAGCCCUAAACCAUCAGGACUUGGGGUUUGCCCUGUACGGGGCAAGUCCCGUAGCUAACGCGUUAAGUCCUGCGCCUGGGGAGUAC